This 546-nucleotide ribosomal RNA is filed under the name Fusarium tricinctum. RNAcentral describes it as "eukaryotic LSU rRNA". The stretch from base 167 to 320 matches the Rfam family "5.8S ribosomal RNA". Lineage: Eukaryota; Fungi; Ascomycota; Sordariomycetes; Hypocreales; Nectriaceae. The record is from RNAcentral.
GCGGAGGGAUCAUUACCGAGUUUACAACUCCCAAACCCCUGUGAACAUACCUUAAUGUUGCCUCGGCGGAUCAGCCCGCGCCCCGUAAAACGGGACGGCCCGCCAGAGGACCCAAACUCUAAUGUUUCUUAUUGUAACUUCUGAGUAAAACAAACAAAUAAAUCAAAACUUUCAACAACGGAUCUCUUGGUUCUGGCAUCGAUGAAGAACGCAGCAAAAUGCGAUAAGUAAUGUGAAUUGCAGAAUUCAGUGAAUCAUCGAAUCUUUGAACGCACAUUGCGCCCGCUGGUAUUCCGGCGGGCAUGCCUGUUCGAGCGUCAUUUCAACCCUCAAGCCCCCGGGUUUGGUGUUGGGGAUCGGCUCUGCCUUCUGGCGGUGCCGCCCCCGAAAUACAUUGGCGGUCUCGCUGCAGCCUCCAUUGCGUAGUAGCUAACACCUCGCAACUGGAACGCGGCGCGGCCAUGCCGUAAAACCCCAACUUCUGAAUGUUGACCUCGGAUCAGGUAGGAAUACCCGCUGAACUUAAGCAUAUCAAUAAGCGGAGGA